This 184-nucleotide ribosomal RNA is filed under the name uncultured archaeon. Its description in RNAcentral is "partial 16S ribosomal RNA". It matches the Rfam family "Archaeal small subunit ribosomal RNA", at positions 467 to 651 of the family's 1478-position model. The record is from RNAcentral.
GCGGUAAUACCAGCUCUCCGAGUGGUGGGGAUGAUUAUUUGGCCUAAAGCGUCCGUAGCCGGCUUAGCAAGUCUUUCGUUAAAUCCGAUGACUUAAUCAUCGGUCUGCGAGAGAUACUACUAGGCUUGAGGACGGGAGAGGUCGACGGUAUUUCGGGGGUAGGGGUAAAAUCCUAUAAUCCUCG